ACGGCUCAUUACACCAGGCACAAUUUACUGGACCUUGACAAACCUACUUGGAUAACUGUGGUAAUUCUAGAGCUAAUACAUGCACCAAAGCUCCGAUCCCUCGCGGAGAGGAGCGCAUUUGUUCGCCACAAAACCAAGCGGCUUCCAAGCCGUUCAGUGUUGACUCAGAAUAACUAGCUGAUCGCACGGUCUUGCACGGCGACGUGUCUUUCAAGUGUCUGCCUUAUCAACUUUCGAUGGUAGUAUACAGGACUACCAUGGUUGUGACGGGUAACGGAGGAUAAGGGUUCGACUCCGGAGAAGGGGCCUGAGAAAUGGCCACUACGUCUAAGGAUGGCAGCAGGCGCGCAAAUUACCCACUCUCAACAUGAGGAGGUAGUGACGAGAAAUAACGAGACCGUUCUCUUCAGAGGCCGGUCAUCGGAAUGGGUACAACUUAAACCCUUUAACGAGUAUCUAUGAGAGGGCAAGUCUGGUGCCAGCAGCCGCGGUAAUUCCAGCUCUCAAAAUGCAUAGAAUUAUUGCUGCGGUUAAAAAGCUCGUAGUUGGAUCUGUGCUGGCCGCCCGGUCUGUCCACUGGGCAUGCACUGGUGCGGCCGGCUUUCCUGCCUGGUUCCUCCCCGGCGUUGGCCUUCACCGGUCGGCGUCGGUGGCCGGGCGAGUUUACUUUGAACAAAUCAGAGUGCUUCAAACAGGCGUUUCGCUUGAAUGUUCGUGCAUGGAAUAAUAGAAGAGGAUUUCGGUCCGAUUUUAUUGGUUUUGCUGACCGAGAUAAUGGUUAACAGAGACAAACGGGGCCAUUCGUAUUGCUGCGUGAGAGGUGAAAUUCUUGGACCGUAGCAAGACGGACUACAGCGAAAGCAUUUGGCAAGAAUGUCUUCAUUAAUCAAGAACGAAAGUCAGAGGUUCGAAGGCGAUCAGAUACCGCCCUAGUUCUGACCGUAAACGAUGCCAACUAGCGAUCCGCCGGCGGAUUCUUUCGCCCUGGUGGGGAGCUUCCCGGAAACGAAAGUCUUCCGGUUCCGGGGGAAGUAUGGUUGCAAAGCUGAAACUUAAAGGAAUUGACGGAAGGGCACCACCAGGAGUGGAGCCUGCGGCUUAAUUUGACUCAACACGGGAAAACUCACCCGGCCCGGACACCGUAAGGAUUGACAGAUUGAUAGCUUUUUCAUGAUUCGGUGGAUGGUGGUGCAUGGCCGUUCUUAGUUA
This 1209-nucleotide ribosomal RNA is filed under the name Nematoda environmental sample. RNAcentral's name for it is "SSU rRNA". It matches the Rfam family "Eukaryotic small subunit ribosomal RNA", at positions 93 to 1300 of the family's 1831-position model. Lineage: Eukaryota; Metazoa; Nematoda. The record is from RNAcentral.